GGGACCUACAAGAAAAGUCUAAACCGGAGUUGGGGGUGCUCCGACAAGAUCCUCCGACGCUCAAGUCAAUACUCUGCUUCAACAGAAAUGGAGUGCUCGAGAAAAAAAUUUUGUAGAGUUUUGAGAUAAAGUUCAAAGCUUAGAGAAGAACGUAUCGAGGAUCCUUAUUUAUAGACGGAGAGCGUAACCGAUUGACAGCGACAUCUGUAACCGCCUGAUCGUGGGCUGUUCAGAGCUGCUUGGAGUUUGUUACAGAAAGUAGUGGCGUCAGGGGUCAUUUAGGGCCACGUGGAGUUGGUUACGGAGAGUGGAGUGGUGGCCAUUGUCGCGACUUGCCAG
Molecule: long non-coding RNA, 339 nt
Filed under: Elaeis guineensis (African oil palm)
Lineage: Eukaryota; Viridiplantae; Streptophyta; Magnoliopsida; Arecales; Arecaceae
Description: long non-coding RNA (EGUI_LNC062351)
Source: RNAcentral